Molecule: ribosomal RNA, 481 nt
Filed under: uncultured bacterium
Lineage: Bacteria
Description: partial 16S ribosomal RNA
Rfam family: Bacterial small subunit ribosomal RNA
Source: RNAcentral
AUUGAACGCUGGCGGCAUGCUUUACACAUGCAAGUCGAACGGUAACAGGCCGCAAGGUGCUGACGAGUGGCGAACGGGUGAGUAAUGCAUCGGAACGUGCCCAGUCGUGGGGGAUAACUACUCGAAAGAGUAGCUAAUACCGCAUACGAUCUAUGGAUGAAAGCGGGGGACCGUAAGGCCUCGCGCGAUUGGAGCGGCCGAUGUCAGAUUAGGUAGUUGGUGGGGUAAAGGCUCACCAAGCCAACGAUCUGUAGCUGGUCUGAGAGGACGACCAGCCACACUGGGACUGAGACACGGCCCAGACUCCUACGGGAGGCAGCAGUGGGGAAUUUUGGACAAUGGGCGCAAGCCUGAUCCAGCAAUGCCGCGUGCAGGAAGAAGGCCUUCGGGUUGUAAACUGCUUUUGUACGGAACGAAACGGCUCUGGUUAAUACCCGGGGCUAAUGACGGUACCGUAAGAAUAAGCACCGGCUAACUACGU